RNAcentral lists this ribosomal RNA (1802 nucleotides) under Chitinophagaceae bacterium. Its description in RNAcentral is "partial 23S ribosomal RNA". It matches the Rfam family "Bacterial large subunit ribosomal RNA", at positions 1104 to 2925 of the family's 2925-position model. The record is from RNAcentral. Lineage: Bacteria; Pseudomonadati; Bacteroidota; Chitinophagia; Chitinophagales; Chitinophagaceae.
GCUUGGAAGCAGCCAUUCAUUUAAAGAGUGCGUAACAGCUCACUAGUCGAGUGGACAAGCGCGGAAAAUAAUCGGGCAUAAAGCACAUUACCGAAGCUAUGUUUUUCAUAUUUAAUUAUAUGGAGAGGUAGGGGAGCAUUCCAAUAUCGGCGAAGUUUAUCUGCGAGGAUAGAUGGAGAGAUUGGAAAAGCAAAUGUAGGCAUAAGUAACGAUAAGACGGGUGAGAAACCCGUCCACCGAAAGACUAAGGGUUCCUGAUCAACGCUAAUCGGAUCAGGGUUAGUCGGAUCCUAAGGAUAACCCGCAAGGGGCAUUCGAUGGGUAACUGGUUAAUAUUCCAGUACUAUCUAUUACUGCGAUGCAGUGACGAAGUAGUGAAAGGCCUGCGUACUGACGGAAUAGUACGUUGAAUAGAGUAGGUAUAUGUUAUAUAGUAAAGUACGUAUAGCAUGCUGAAACUAGACAGUACCGAGCGUCUUCGGACAAUCGGAUAAUGGCUGUAAUCAGACUUCCGAGAAAACCUGCUAAGCUUCAGGUAAUAGAUAACCGUACCGUAAACCGACACAGGUAGUCGAGGAGAGAAUCCUAAGGUGCUCGAGUGAAUCAUGGCUAAGGAAUUCGGCAAAAUGGUCUCGUAACUUCGGGAGAAGAGACGCCUGAUGUAAGAAUCAGGCCGCAGUGAAGAGGCCCAGGCGACUGUUUAACAAAAACACAGGACUAUGCGAAAUUGAAAGAUGAAGUAUAUGGUCUGACACCUGCCCGGUGCCGGAAGGUUAAGGAAGGGGGUUAGUGCGUAAGUGCGAAGCUCUUGACUGAAGCCCCGGUAAACGGCGGCCGUAACUAUAACGGUCCUAAGGUAGCGAAAUUCCUUGUCGGGUAAGUUCCGACCUGCACGAAUGGUGUAACGAUCUGGGCACUGUCUCAGCCAUGAGCUCGGUGAAAUUGUAAUUCCGGUGAAGAUGCCGGAUACCCGCAACGGGACGGAAAGACCCCGUGCACCUUUACUGCAACUUAACAUUGGUUUUGGGUAAGUAAUGUGUAGGAUAGGUGGGAGACUAUGAAGUGGCUUCGCCAGGAGUCGUGGAGUCAACCUUGAAAUACCACCCUUUGCUUGCCUGGAAUCUAAUUCCGGGAACGGAAGACAGUGUUUGGUGGGUAGUUUGACUGGGGUGGUCGCCUCCAAAAGAGUAACGGAGGCUUUCAAAGGUACCCUCAGCACGCUUGGUAACCGUGCGUUGAGUGCAAUAGCACAAGGGUGCUUGACUGUGAGACUGACAAGUCGAACAGGGUCGAAAGACGGAUAUAGUGAUCCGGUGGUUCCGUAUGGAAGGGCCAUCGCUCAAAGGAUAAAAGGUACGCCGGGGAUAACAGGCUGAUCUCCCCCAAGAGCUCAUAUCGACGGGGAGGUUUGGCACCUCGAUGUCGGCUCGUCACAUCCUGGGGCUGGAGAAGGUCCCAAGGGUUGGGCUGUUCGCCCAUUAAAGUGGCACGCGAGCUGGGUUCAGAACGUCGCAAGACAGUUCGGUCUCUAUCUGUUGCGGGCGUUAGAAAUUUGCGGGGAUCUGAUUCUAGUACGAGAGGACCGAAUCGGACGAACCUCUAGUGUACCUGUUGUGGCGCCAGCUGCACCGCAGGGUAGCUAUGUUCGGAAGGGAUAAGCGCUGAAAGCAUCUAAGCACGAAGCCCACCUCAAGAUGAGAUUUCUUUUAAGGGUCGUGAGAGAUGAUCACGUAGAUAGGUUACAGGUGUAAAGGCAGUAAUGUCAAAGCCGAGUAAUACUAAUUACCCGUAAGCUUUCCAUA